GACGAACGCUGGCGGCGUGCUUAACACAUGCAAGUCGAACGGAAAGGCCCUGCUCUUGUGGGGUGCUCGAGUGGCGAACGGGUGAGUAACACGUGAGUAACCUGCCCUUGUAUUUGUGAUAAAUUCAGGAAACUGGGGCUAAUACCGGAUAGGAUCUCCUGCUCCAUGUUGGGGGUUGGAAAGUUUCGGCGGUUGGGGAUGGAUUCGCGGCUUCUCCGCUGGUUGGUGGGGUAGUGGCUUACCAAGGCUUUGACUGAUAGCCCACCUGGGAGGUGGACCGGCCACCUGGGGCCUGAGGUACGGCCCAGUCUCCUACCGUAGGCAACAGGGGAAAAUAUUGCACAGUGGGCGGAAGCCUGAUGCAGCGACGCCGGGUGCGUGAUGACGGCCUUCGGGGUGUAAACAGCUGUGUACUGUGACGAAGCGGGAGUGACGGUAAUGGGUAAGGAAGCACCGGCUAACUACGUG
RNAcentral lists this ribosomal RNA (468 nucleotides) under uncultured bacterium. RNAcentral's name for it is "partial 16S ribosomal RNA". It matches the Rfam family "Bacterial small subunit ribosomal RNA", at positions 28 to 507 of the family's 1533-position model. The record is from RNAcentral.